RNAcentral lists this small nuclear RNA (158 nucleotides) under Pelusios castaneus (West African mud turtle). Its description in RNAcentral is "U1 spliceosomal RNA (ENSPCEG00000014710.1)". It matches the Rfam family "U1 spliceosomal RNA". From Rfam's summary of the family: U1 is a small nuclear RNA (snRNA) component of the spliceosome (involved in pre-mRNA splicing). Its 5' end forms complementary base pairs with the 5' splice junction, thus defining the 5' donor site of an intron. Lineage: Eukaryota; Metazoa; Chordata; Testudines; Pelomedusidae. The record is from RNAcentral.
GUAAUUAGCUGGCAAAGGAGCUACCAUGAUCAUGAAGGUGGCUCUCCUAGGAUGAAGCUCAUCCAUUGCAAUUCAGGUAUGCUGAUUCCUGCAGUUUCCUUAAAUUCAGGGGUCUUGAAAACAGUUUGUGGGGGGAGGAUACAUUCAUGUUUCCCCAG